RNAcentral lists this ribosomal RNA (240 nucleotides) under uncultured bacterium. RNAcentral's name for it is "partial 16S ribosomal RNA". It matches the Rfam family "Bacterial small subunit ribosomal RNA", at positions 15 to 244 of the family's 1533-position model. The record is from RNAcentral.
GAUCAUGGCUCAGGAUGAACGCUAGCUACAGGCUUAACACAUGCAAGUCGAGGGGAAACGACAUCGAAAGCUUGCUUUUGAUGGGCGUCGACCGGCGCACGGGUGAGUAACGCGUAUCCAACCUGCCCAUCACUUGGGAAUAACCUUGCGAAAGUAAGACUAAUGCCCAAUGACAUCCCACGAAGGCAUCCGAAUGGGAUUAAAGAUUUAUCGGUGAUGGACGGGGAUGCGUCUGAUUAG